CGAAAUCUCACAAAAUCUCACGAGAAUAGCAAGGACUUCCUGGAGUUCCGCGGCUGGAGAGAGCGCCGUCGCUGCCGCCGUUGCCGACGAUGAAAACAGUACUAUAAAGAAACCACAACAGAAGAGUUCAGGAGAAAUUCACAGAGCAGAGCAUGGAAACAUCACUAAGAAUAAUAAUAUGCUGCUUCUUUACAUGCAGCCAAACACUGAGGGCACUUCUAGACAGCAGGAAAUUGCAGGCAAAAAUGGAUUAAAGAAAUCCCUCCCCCCUCCCCUUCUCCUCAUGUGCCAUUUUGGUGAGCCAGAAGAACCUCCAAGUCGGCUCCGUGUCUGGCAGCAGCUUUAGUGGAUUAGAUAAUCAAUAGGAAGUAGAAUGGAGAGAAGAAAACCAAUAAAAUGAAGACUUAAAAGAGAAGAUUUGUGCAAAUUUUACAAAUGAAGAAAUAUCAGAACUAAAGGGAAAAGGAAAACUUCCAAAUCAGGAAUUCUCUACAGUAUUGAUCCCAUUUUUAAGUAAGUAGAAUAUAUCUGUGAAAAAGCAGGAUUGUGAACAACUGGUACACAUUCCAGCCGGUGUUAGCAUUCAGACUGCAUCUUCUCAAGAAAAACAUCUCCUUUUGUGUUUUACAAGCUAUUAUUAUUCUUUUCACUCACAAAUUUGAGCCACAAGCUGUGGGAUAGUAUGUUGCAAAAAGCAGGAGAGGCUGCAGUAAUUUACUUUUACUUGAGACCACUGGGAAGUUUCCAUUUCCUCCUUCCUCCCUUCUGCUCAAUUUGCACUUUGAACCAAUUGUUAGUCCUUCGAAGUUUUGAGAUUGUGGAAUGCUUUUUCUUGGUCCUUUCAUUGCUCCAGGAUCUUAUGUCUGAAAAAAUCCAUGAGAAGGCCUUCUCAGUGGCUGAUUCCAAUGAGUGAAAUUCUCUUCCACAUGAGGUUAGCUCUUAUCCCCUCCAUACAGUCCUACCACUGGUGACAUUUUAUUUUUUCAUUUAAACUGGCUUUAGAUGAUUCACUGGUUGUGCUAAGGAUCUUUUAAUAAUAGGCAAGUGCUUUUCAUUCUUUUCAAUGUUAUGUUUUUAAAUACUUGCAUAUAGUUUUAAGAAGCCCCCGGUGGUGAAGCGGGUUAAACCGCUGAACUGCUGAACUUGCAGACUGAAAGGACCAAGGUAAACUCCCGCUAUUAGCCCCAGCUUCUGCCAACCUAGCAGUUCAAAAACAUGCAAAUCUGAGUAGAUCAAUAGGUACUGCUUCGGUGGGAAGGUAACGGCACUCCAUGCAGUCAUGCCAGCCACAUGACCUUGGAGGUGUCUACCAACAACACCGUCUCUUUGGCUUAGAGAUGAGCACUAGCCCUCAGAGUCAGACCCGACUAGACUUAAUGUCAGGAAAAAAACCAUUACCUGUAUUAUAAAAUUUUAAAUUAGUAUUUUUAAUCUAAUUCGGUCUUUUUAACUUUUUAUCACAUUUUAAAGCUGUACUUUGUUUUAAUAUAUGCUGUGAACCCUAAAUCAAAAACCCAUAAUAUCCCACCCCAUUAUAUUAGAGUUCACAGUUGGGUUUUUUGUGUUUUUUCUUUUAAUUUUAAUUGAAUGUGAAAAAUUCAAUAAAAUUAAUUUUUAAAAGUGAGUGUUGCUUUCAAAAAAAAUAUGCUGUGAGCCAUCUGGGUCCCUAUUGGGACAAUGAAAUGAUAUUAAUUGAUCUAUUGAUUUAAUUGUCACAACAUAUUAGUUUCCUCUAUUAAGUUAUAAUAAUUAAGCAAUUCAGUUAUGUCUUAAUAUUGCUAAAGAGAAGUAGAUUUAAUCUGAAGUGGAAUAUUGAUUUAAUUGCCUAUCACCAAUUUAGAAACUAAAGACUAGAAAGAGUCAACAAAAACUAUUGAUAUCUCAUCUUCCCAUGAUAAUAAGGCCCAGUGUUAGUAUGCUUCCGCAUGGAUGAGAAAUACAGUUUGAUGCAGGUUUACAUUGGACUGCUGGGCGCUGAACAAUUUGCUUGUACACUGGUGGGUCCCUCCCCCCCCCCCCCCCAGACUCACAGUUCCUUGUUGCUUUGAUGACACCCAACUCUAUUACUCCUUUCCACCAAAAGCCAAGAAUGCCAUUCUGGACCUGAACCUGUGCCUGUCAUCAGAAAGGGACUAGAUGAGGACCAACAAGGUGAAACUAAAUCCAGACAAGAUAGAGGUACUCCUGGUCAGUUGCAAGGCAGAACAGCAUAUAGGGUUACAGCCUGUGCUGGAUGGGGUCAUACUCCCUCUGAAGGCACAGGUUCAAAGUCUGGGGGUGAUCCUGGACUCAUCACUGACCCUGUAACUUUAGGUGUUGGCAGUGGCCUCCUUCACACAAUUAAACUUGUGCACCAGCUGCCCCCCGUACCUUGAGGUGCCUGACUUGGCCAUGGUAGUCCAUGCCUUAGUUAUAUCCCAUUUGAACUACUGUUCCAUCUAUGUGGGGCUGCCUUUGAAGAUAGUUCGGAAGCUACAGAUAGUUCAGAGAAUGGCAGCCAGGUUACUAACUGGGGCUCUGUACAGGGAGAGAAACACUCCCGUGUUACGGCAGCUUCACUUGUUGCCAGUCCGCUUUCAAACUAAAUGCAAAGUGCUGGUCAUUACCUAUAAAGCCCUAAAUGGUUCAGGUCCAGGGUAUUUGUCUAACCGCAUCUCCCUAUAUAGAGCAUCUGGUACACUACAGUCAGGGGAGGAGGUCCUACUCUCAGUCUCACCCCCAUCAAAAACACAGUUGGUGGGAACGAGAGAGGGGGACAUUUCCGUGAUCGCUCCCCACCUCUGGAACUCCCUCCCUAAAGAAAUAAAAAUGGCCCCCACCCUCCUCUCCUUCAAAAAACUUUUGAAAACACACUUAUGUACCUUACCAUAUAGAGAAGAGGAGGACUAGCAUGUUCUAAUUAGCACUUUAUGGCUGUUACAGCUAGCACUUUAUGGUUAUUAUGGCCACUAUGGCUUGUAUUGGUAUAACAAUUGAUGUUAGGCACUUUUUAAAUUCUAGUAGUUUCUGUUUUAGGAUACAUGUUGCUGUGCAAUUAUAUUUUAUUAGUGCAAACAUGUUUUAAUUAAAUAUUUGUACUUCUUAUUAUGCUUAAUUUUAAUUCUCCGUGAUAAUAAAUUCUUUAAUGCUCA
This is a long non-coding RNA of Anolis carolinensis (green anole), 3131 nucleotides long. RefSeq lists it as uncharacterized. Lineage: Eukaryota; Metazoa; Chordata; Lepidosauria; Squamata; Anolidae. The transcript has 4 exons. The record is from RefSeq and is a predicted model, not a curated record.